GUGAACGCUGGCGGUAGGCCUAACACAUGCAAGUCGAACGGCAGCACAGUAAGAGCUUGCUCUUACGGGUGGCGAGUGGCGGACGGGUGAGGAAUACAUCGGAAUCUACUUUUUCGUGGGGGAUAACGUAGGGAAACUUACGCUAAUACCGCAUACGACCUACGGGUGAAAGCAGGGGAUCUUCGGACCUUGCGCGAUUGAAUGAGCCGAUGUCGGAUUAGCUAGUUGGCGGGGUAAAGGCCCACCAAGGCGACGAUCCGUAGCUGGUCUGAGAGGAUGAUCAGCCACACUGGAACUGAGACACGGUCCAGACGCCUACGGGAGGCAGCAGUGGGGAAUAUUGGACAAUGGGCGCAAGCCUGAUCCAGCCAUACCGCGUGGGUGAAGAAGGCCUUCGGGUUGUAAAGCCCUUUUGUUGGGAAAGAAAAGCAGCAGGUUAAUACCCCGCUGUUCUGACGGUACCCAAAGAAUAAGCACCGGCUAACUUCGUG
This 491-nucleotide ribosomal RNA is filed under the name uncultured bacterium. RNAcentral describes it as "partial 16S ribosomal RNA". It matches the Rfam family "Bacterial small subunit ribosomal RNA", at positions 29 to 507 of the family's 1533-position model. The record is from RNAcentral.